RNAcentral lists this ribosomal RNA (433 nucleotides) under uncultured bacterium. Its description in RNAcentral is "partial 16S ribosomal RNA". It matches the Rfam family "Bacterial small subunit ribosomal RNA", at positions 29 to 507 of the family's 1533-position model. The record is from RNAcentral.
AACGAACGCUGGCGGCAUGCCUAACACAUGUAAGUCGAACGAGACCUUCGGGUCUAGUGGUGAACGGCUGCGUAACGCGUGGGAACCUGCUUUUCGGUUCGGAAUAAUUCCCCGACAGGGGUUCUAAUACCGGAUAAUGUUUUUGGACCAAAGAUUUAUCGCCUUUGGAUGGGCCCGCGUUGGAUUAGCUAGUUGGUAGGGUAAACGCCUACCAAGGCGACCAUCCAUUGCUGGUCUGAGAGGAUCAUCGGUCACACUUGGACUGAGACACGGCCCAGACUCCUACGGGAGGAAGCGGUAGUGAAUAGUAGACAGUGAGCGAAAGCCUGAUCCAACAAAGCCGCGUGAGUGAUGAAGGCCUUAUGAUUGGAAAGCUCUCUUUCCCGAGAUGAUAAGUAGAGUACCGGGAGAAGAAGAUCCGACUAACUCCGUG